UACGAAGGGGGCUAGCGUUGCUCGGAAUUACUGGGCGUAAAGGGCGCGUAGGCGGAUGUUUAAGUCAGCGGUGAAAGCCCAGGGCUCAACCUUGGAACUGCCAUUGAUACUGGACAUCUUGAGUACGGGAGAGGUGAGUGGAACUGCGAGUGUAGAGGUGAAAUUCGUAGAUAUUCGCAAGAACACCAGUGGCGAAGGCGGCUCACUGGCCCGGUACUGACGCUGAGGUGCGAAAGCGUGGGGAGCAAACAGG
RNAcentral lists this ribosomal RNA (253 nucleotides) under uncultured bacterium. Its description in RNAcentral is "partial 16S ribosomal RNA". It matches the Rfam family "Bacterial small subunit ribosomal RNA", at positions 524 to 776 of the family's 1533-position model. The record is from RNAcentral.